GUCAUUGUAGCAAUACAAGGCAGACGGCUCAGUAACGCGUAGUCAACCUAACCUAUGGACGGGAAUAACCUCGGGAAACUGAGAAUAAUGCCCGAUAGAACACUAUACCUGGAAUGGUUUGUGUUCCAAAUGAUUUAUCGCCGUAGGAUGGGACUGCGGCCUAUCAGUUUGUUGGUGAGGUAAUGGCCCACCAAGACUAUUACAGGUACGGGCUCUGAGAGGAGUAGCCCGGAGAUGGGUACUGAGACACGGACCCAGGCCCUAUGGGGCGCAGCAGGCGAGAAAACUUUGCAAUGUGCGAAAGCACGACAAGGUUAAUCCGAGUGAUUUGUGCUAAACGAAUCUUUUGUUAGUCCUAGAACCACUAACGAAUAAGGGGUGGGCAAGUUCUGGUGUCAGCCGCCGCGGUAAAACCAGCACCUCAAGUGGUCAGGAUGAUUAUUGGGCCUAAAGCAUCCGUAGCCGGGUCUGUAAGUUUUCGGUUAAAUCUGUACGCUUAACGUACAGGCUGCCGGGAAUACUGCAGAGCUAGGGAGUGGGAGAGGUAGACGGUACUCGGUAGGAAGGGGUAAAAUCCUUUGAUCUAUUGAUGACCACCUGUGGCGAAGGCGGUCUACCAGAACACGUCCGACGGUGAGGGAUGAAAGCUGGGGGAGCAAACCGGAUUAGAUACCCGGGUAGUCCCAGCUGUAAACUAUGCAAACUCAUUGAUGCAUUGAC
RNAcentral lists this ribosomal RNA (720 nucleotides) under uncultured archaeon. RNAcentral's name for it is "bacterial SSU rRNA". It matches the Rfam family "Archaeal small subunit ribosomal RNA", at positions 57 to 783 of the family's 1478-position model. The record is from RNAcentral.